AAAAGAUUUGACCGACCGCACGGGCACAGUAGCUGAAAAUAGUUCCAUGAGUUUUGGCCCUGCGGUCGGUCUCAGUUCCCUUGUAAAAAGUCACGAAAGUCUUUGUCAUCCAUGCUUGCCUUUGCAUUCGAAUGAAUCCCCUCAUUCGCGGGAUUCAUCCUACCGACUGCUGGGCUGUUCAUGCGUAAGAUUCUUCCCUUUCCG
Non-coding RNA from Pelobates cultripes (western spadefoot toad), 204 nucleotides. Lineage: Eukaryota; Metazoa; Chordata; Amphibia; Anura; Pelobatidae. The record is from the annotation of a GenBank genome assembly.